Molecule: non-coding RNA, 75 nt
Filed under: Ralstonia solanacearum UW551
Lineage: Bacteria; Pseudomonadati; Pseudomonadota; Betaproteobacteria; Burkholderiales; Burkholderiaceae
Source: RNAcentral
UUGGGCACGGCCGGAGCGAUCCGGUGGCGUAAAGCUAGAGGGACUUCGAUGUUGGAAGUCAGCCAGGUAUCCGCC